This 449-nucleotide ribosomal RNA is filed under the name uncultured Anaerolineaceae bacterium. Its description in RNAcentral is "bacterial SSU rRNA". It matches the Rfam family "Bacterial small subunit ribosomal RNA", at positions 919 to 1382 of the family's 1533-position model. Lineage: Bacteria; Bacillati; Chloroflexota; Anaerolineae; Anaerolineales; Anaerolineaceae. The record is from RNAcentral.
ACCCGCACAAGCAGCGGAGCGUGUGGUUUAAUUCGUUGCUACACGAAGAACCUUACCUGGGUUUGACAUAUAGGUUGUAGGGAACUGAAAAGGGACCGACCCUUCGGGGAGCCUAUACAGGUGUUGCAUGGCUGUCGUCAGCUCGUGUCGUGAGAUGUUCGGUUAAGUCCGCUAACGAGCGCAACCCUCGUCGUAUGUUAUAUGUGUCAUACGAGACUGCCGGUAAAAGCCGGAGGAAGGUGAGGAUGAUGUCAAGUCAGCAUGACCUUUAUAUCCAGGGCUACACACACGCUACAAUGGUCUGUACAAUGGGUAGCUAAGCCGCGAGGCGGAGCCAAUCCUGAAAGCAGGCCUCAGUUCAGAUUGCAGUCUGCAACUCGACUGCAUGAAGCCGGAGUUGCUAGUAACCGCAGGUCAGCAAUACUGCGGUGAAUACGUUCCCGGGUCUU